Molecule: ribosomal RNA, 301 nt
Filed under: uncultured bacterium
Lineage: Bacteria
Description: partial 16S ribosomal RNA
Rfam family: Bacterial small subunit ribosomal RNA
Source: RNAcentral
CAGCCGCCACGGUAAUACGGAGGGCGCGAGCGUUACCCGGAUUUACUGGGCGUAAAGGGCGUGUAGGCGGCCUGGGGCGUCCCAUGUGAAAGGCCACGGCUCAACCGUGGAGGAGCGUGGGAUACGCUCAGGCUAGAGGGUGGGAGAGGGUGGUGGAAUCCCCGGAGUAGCGGUGAAAUGCGCAGAUACCGGGGGAAGCGCCGAUGGCGAAGGCAGCCACCUGGUCCACUUCUGACGCUGAGGCGCGAAAGCGUGGGGAGCAAACCGGAUUAGAUACCCCAGUAGUCCCUGUCUCUUAUAC